This 1265-nucleotide long non-coding RNA is filed under the name Sus scrofa (pig). RNAcentral's name for it is "lncRNA (ENSSSCG00040002300.1, ENSSSCG00150021806.1, ENSSSCG00170008045.1, ENSSSCG00190037964.1)". The record is from RNAcentral. Lineage: Eukaryota; Metazoa; Chordata; Mammalia; Artiodactyla; Suidae.
AGAGGCUCUGUGCAGCAGAUUGGGCAAGAGGGUCCUGAGUUGGUGUCAGAAAGGGGGUGAAGGGAGAGAGAGGUUGUGCGAGGCCUUCAGGACCAUGGUAAGGACUUUGGCUUUUAGUCUGAAUGAAAUGGGGAAUUGAGGGGUUUUGAGCAGAGGCAUGAUAAAAUUUGCAUUACAUUUCAAAAGGCUCAGUCCAGUUGCUCUGCUGAGAAUGUAGGGGGCAAAGGUGGAAGAAGGGAAGUUAGACCCUUGCACAUCACUGUGUGUGUCCCUAGAAGAACCCAAGAGUCUGGGAAGCAAGUGAUAGAAGUAGGGAUGGAUCCACCCGCCAUCAUCAUCACUUAUGUUCUUUGGGAAAUGUGUGAUUCCAGCCCUGAUGACUCUCACCUUAAGUUUUUGGAAAGAGACCCACCAAAAUUUCAGAGAAGUUAUUCCAAGGCGGUCUGACUUACUGUACAAAGCAAGCAGAUCUGCGCAGGGGAAGUUGUAUUCACUGUCUGGCUGAUUUGGGGAGUCUAAGGGCCUGGCCUCUUGCUGCAGUCUGGGACAUCUCUGAAGAACAUGGCUGGUUUCACAUCUCAUGGAACUGGUUGAAGUCUCUAAGGUGUGUUCACUUUCUUCCUCCUCCCAGUCUGCUCUAUGGCGGACAGAAUAAUGGCUCCCCAGGGAUGUCUGCAUCCUCCUCCCCAAUAUGCGUGACUGCAUUGCCUUCCAUGACAAAUGGAAAUCUGCACACAUGAGGAAGUUAAGGAUCUGGAGAUGGAGAGAUUAUCCUUGGUGGACAAAAUGUAAUCCCAAGGGUCCUUAUAAGGAAGAAUCGGGAAGUCAGAGAAGAGAGAAGAUGCUACCACCUGUUUUUGAAGAUAGAGCCACAGCCUAAAGACUGUAGGUAGCCUAUAGAAGAUGAAAAAAGUCAAGACAGAUUCUCCUUAAGAGCUUGAGAAGGAAUGCAGUCCUGAUGACUGAUUUGGGACUUUGGUCUCUAGAACUAUUCAGUGAUAAAUUAUGCUGUAUGAAGUCACCGUUUAUUGCUGUUUACAGCAGCAAUAGGAAACAAAUACACGUUCCCUUACAGGUGAUGUUUGGGAAAAGCAUGCCCCAACAAGCUUCUAACAUGCAAAUCUUUUUUUAAAUGAUUUUUUUCCCAUUAUAGCUGGUUUACAGUAUUGUCAAUUUUCUAUUGUACAUCAAAAUGACCCAGUCACACACACACACACACACACACACACAUAUACACUCUUUUUCUCACAUUAUCCUCCAUCCUG